Molecule: long non-coding RNA, 3768 nt
Organism: Clupea harengus (Atlantic herring)
Lineage: Eukaryota; Metazoa; Chordata; Actinopteri; Clupeiformes; Clupeidae
Exons: 4
Source: RefSeq, a predicted model, not a curated record
AGUAAGAAAAAAACUGAGGUAUAGCAUCAAGAAAAUCACAGUUUUUUACAACUGCUCACACACGUUUUCUGAAACUGAUACAUCUAACACUCCUGUCUUUGUUAGGAAUUAUUUUUGAUGUUAUACUGUUACAGUGCACUUCAUAGAGCAAUCUGACAUAACUGUUUACAAUAGACUGAAUAUAUGAACACACAGAUACAGUACUUCUAACAAAUGUCAGUAAUUAUUCCUCAGUUCUGUGAAACAUUGACAGUGCACCUUUUGCAUUUUUAGUGCUAGAAUUUUUUAUUUAUUUUUUUUAUUUUAAUAUACAACUGUAUUUAGUCAACACAUACGCAGGUCAUUUAGGAUGCUGAGGGUUGUAACAAUGUGUUCAGUUAUGAAACACAUAUACACAAUAUUUUGUAAGUUGGUUGGUAUAAAUAAAUUAACUCUUAGUACUUGAUUCAUAAAAAAAACCACAGCAACAUAACAUCACAACCAACCUUUGGAACUGGUAUGUGUGUCUUGCAUUUGCAUUUUGAAGGGUAGUGCCGUAAAAAAUGCACACUAGUGUUCAAUGUCUGUGUAAUGGUUUGCAAAAAGUAUUUUAUGAUAUUGAGAACUGAGUGAAAGUCUGAGAAUUAGCUUAUAGUAUAGCUUAUAGUUUUGCAGAUUAGGUGUGAGAAUUUGCUCUUUGAGUGACACGUUUCAGAUUUCGUAUGACAUGUAAACAUUUUGUGUGUAAGCAGGUAAACUGCUAUUUUGUAUAGGUAUCAAAUUAUUUGUUCAUAGCCUUGAUACUGGUGGAGUGUUGUACACAUGACACUUAUUUUUUUUACCUUUCAGCAGAAUAUACUAAGUAAUUUCCAAAUGAUUUCAUAAUGUAUUUGUUAACUCUUUAGGAGCUGAUACCAAAGAGGUCAAAUACUACAGAGUGGCUGUAGUGAGUCUGGGGCUGCUGUGUGCUCUCCUACUGGUUGUCAUUAUAUGGAUGGGCACCAAACACACUGCAGAGAGAGACCAGCAACAAAGGAAUAUGGACCAACUGCAAUUAAGAAACACCAACCUAGCCAAAGAGAGAGACCAGCAACAGAGGAUUAUGGACCAACUGGAAAUAAACAAAACCGAAGUGGACCAAGAAAAUCAUCGGGUGACUUCAGAGAAUAAUGCUUUGAUGAAAAAAAAACAGCAUUUUGACAGCUGAGAAAGAGAAGCUGCAAAACACCGUUCGGAUUCCUCAUGGUUUGAGAUGUUUUGGUUCCAGUUUUUACUACAUUUCAACCAGCCUGAAAACCUGGAGUGACAGCAGACAGCACUGCAUGGAUCAAGGGGGGGAUCUGGUGAUCAUUGACAGUGAGGAGGAACAGAAAUUCAUCUCAGGAUUUAAGAAGAAAGUUUGGAUUGGUGCUGUGAAGACAGACGGAGCCUGGAAAUGGGUAGAUGGCAAAGUCCUGGGUAAUGCAGGGUACUGGGCUGAGGGAGAACCAAAUGACUAUAGUGGAAAAGAAAAGUGUGGAGAGUUAUCGACGACCCUUUAAGAACCUGGAAUGACCACCGUUGCAUUGUGGACAAUAAAUAUAUUUGUGAGAAAGUGAUGUGAUUUCAAUUAAAAACGUCUGUCUUUUUUGAGUCUUCCCAUAGGACAACUUUAGUUUUCAAAGAUUUUGAUAACUCAGAAAACCUAUAUGUGAUCUCAUUGUUGUUUCAAUUGUGUAUCAAUUUAAAUCACAGAUAUUUCUUCUCAGAUUGUUUAGGAGAAACAAUUUGAGACUAAAAUGAGAUGAGGCACUUUGUAAAAAUCCACCAUAAUUGAUAACAAAUAUAUUUUAAUUACCCCUCUCCUAAACAUCUUUAAAACAGUCUUCUUGCUCUUUUUGUGAAAAUGUGUGCCUCAUCCCCAAACAUCAACGAUGUCUUGAGAGAGAAUCAGAGGAGGUUAUAUUGAAAUGUCUAUAUUUAGUAAAAAUGGAGCGUGAUUUGUGACCCUGUUGAGAUCUCUCCUUUAACACCAUAGGAGAAAUUUGGUCCAUAUAGAAGUAUAGAUUUAAGCUUUAAUAUCCUUUUCAUCUCAUUGCUGUCUAGGGUAAACUGAAAGAUCUCUUUUUAGAUUUUUCUCUUCUUAAUGUUUUUGUAAUGGACAUCUAUUGACCUGCUGAUAUACAAACUCCCUUGUAUCAAUGAUGCCAGAUUACCCAUGAAUUUUUAACUGCUGGGUUCCAUGUUAAUCAUGGUCUUAUAACAGAAAAGAUGUCCCCGUACUCAAUCACUUUCUUUUUCUGUAGUAAUUGUUCUCAUACUGUCCACCAGAUGACACUAAAUGAGCAUCUAAUGUAAAGAUGACGUUAGGCCUAAAAUAGUGACAGCAGAAUGUAAAAAAAUAAAUGAAAUAAAUAAAAACACGUAUUGAUUUCCAUAUUUGUUUUUGUCAAUGCUGAGGAGCCACUAAAGAGGGGCUAAAGAGCCGCGGGUCGCUGACCCCUGGUCUAAUCAAUCGCUAAACUGACAGCAAGUUGUCCACAGAUGUGUACAUUACAGAUACAGUUAGUCAUUUGACAGACACUGUUAUUCAAAACAACACUGGAAACGACCCUUCUGCAUGCAGUUUCACCUGUCGUAAAUAUCCACCGACAUCACUCUUAAAGGUGAGGGAGUAGUUUUUAGUGGCUUCUUGUGGUGAGUUUACAGCUGAAUACCCUUCCCUUUACAAGCGUGUAAGAGUACCUACGGUGGUUGUCAAAUAACCAAUAAGCCAUAACAAAGGUGAAAAACCCCAUCUACAGCCAGAGUUAUGGUUUGUCCGUUCUGGGCCACUGUAGAAACAUGGCGGUGCAACAGGGCGGCCUCCGUGGAAGAGGACCCCCUCCCUAUGUAGAUACCACGAUUCAUCGUUACAGGUGAUUAUACACUAAUGAAAACAUAGUAAAAACUACACACUGUACCUUUAAUAGGUUAAUGUGUCUCCCCUAAAGAAAGUGUCUCAGAAUAGGAACUCUAAACUAACAUAAGUCUUUACCCCACGCCACUCUCACAGCACAUGGCAAUGUCUGUGCUAAUGGAGAAACACUAGGGAAUAGAACAUCAAUACCCUCAGAACCAAAUGGCACAAACAAACAGAAACACUGCAAAUUCACCAAAGAUGUUUCCUUCAAUUUGUCAAACACUGUCAUACAUACGUACGUAUAUGUCAAAUCCCAAUAUAUGCUGGAAUAUUUAACCCAAUUCUGAAAAAGUAAGAAUCUAACACUGCUAUUAGAGAAUUUAUAUAAGAAAUGCAUCAGCUGUUUGAGAUCUAACCACUGAUUUGUCUUGAAGUUGUGUGAUGACAAAGUUUGCUGAUUCAAGGAACUUCAAGAAUGACACUAAAAGUCCAACUGACACUGAAAGUCAGAAAGGUGAGUAUUGGGAAGAGAUUGUCAGAGGAGUUGAUUGUCAGAGGAGUUGAUUGGCAGUGUUGGCCAAGUGUUGGCACCGGGUAUAGGUUCGGCCGGCCGUGUGGCCGUUGCACAGUGUGGAGCGUAGACCCUUUUUUACAUUUCACUACAUGUUCGUGUAUGUGACAAAUAAAGCACUUGAACUUGAGUGUCAGAGGGAGGGGGAGGGGGAGGAUACAGAGUGGUAGAGAAAGAAAAAAAUCUGAAAUAAUAGUGAUCCUACCAAAAAAAAUCAUCAUCACUGUGGAAGUUAGGAUGAAGCCCAAAUUAAUGCAAAAGACCAAACCGGCCUGCUAGCAUUAGCGUGAACGCAGGGUCAGGAGGCCAGGCUGCCUUUGCUGUGGCUGUGGAGGUU